ACGGGAAUCCAAACCCAUGACCUUGAGGUUAUAAGGCUGAGCCUCUAAACAACUGAGCUAACCAGUUAGCCUCAACUUUAACUUUAAACUGUUUUUAUUGGGAUUGGCUGCUGAAUUUUAUGACGUACUCUUCUAGAAUCUGUCAGUAGCUGCCCAUGCCGUCUUACCGCUCACCUGUGUGUACCAGAGGUUGUUUGCUAUGACAUGGUGAUUCUCUCUUUACCCAGGAGUUUUUCCUUCUGGCCUUGAGCACUGUAGGGCAAGCCUGAAGUGCCAGAAGAUGAACGCCUCUGCAGUAGUUCUCAACUAAUGACAGGUGGGAUCUGGCAGACAGCUUUCUGGUGUCCUUGCCUCUUGGUAGAGCUACAUGUGGAGCGUGCCCAGAGCUCCCCAGUGGCUGAGCUCCAGCUGCCACAGUGGGGCCUGGUUUUAUUGGCUCCCUCCCUUCUCUGUCCCACCUCCUCAUCCCCUAUUGGUGUUUCCUGGAUCAUGUCCUUAGUAACCAAUUUUUGUUUGAAUCCUUCUCUCAGGGUAUGCUUUUGGAGAAAUCUAAACCGAGACAGUUGUGGAAUCAUAGGAUUUUCUCCAUUAGUUUACUGAUUUAAUGCAUGUCAACAAACCAGUUGGUGGGCCAGCUGCCUGUUUUUGAAAAUAAAGUUUUACUGGAACACAGA
This is a long non-coding RNA of Galeopterus variegatus (Sunda flying lemur), 674 nucleotides long. RefSeq lists it as uncharacterized. The record is from RefSeq and is a predicted model, not a curated record. NCBI's taxonomy places the organism in Eukaryota, Metazoa, Chordata, Mammalia, Dermoptera, Cynocephalidae. The transcript is spliced from 2 exons.